AUUGAACGCUGGCGGAAUGCUUUACACAUGCAAGUCGAACGGCAGCACGGGGCAACCUGGUGGCGAGUGGCGAACGGGUGAGUAAUACAUCGGAACGUGCCCAAUCGGUGGGGGAUAACGUAGCGAAAGUUACGCUAAUACCGCAUACGAUCUACGGAUGAAAAGCGGGGGAUCGCAAGACCUCGCGCGAAUGGAGCGGCCGAUGUCAGAUUAGGUAGUUGGUGGGGUAAAGGCUCACCAAAGCCAACGAUACUGUAGCUGGUCUGAGAGGACGACCAGCCACACUGGAACUGAGACACGGUCCAGACUCCUAC
This 314-nucleotide ribosomal RNA is filed under the name uncultured bacterium. RNAcentral's name for it is "bacterial SSU rRNA". It matches the Rfam family "Bacterial small subunit ribosomal RNA", at positions 30 to 342 of the family's 1533-position model. The record is from RNAcentral.